AGAACGAACGCUGGCGGCAUGCCUAACACAUGCAAGUCGAACGAGACCUUCGGGUCUAGUGGCGCACGGGUGCGUAACGCGUGGGAAUCUGCCCUUGGGUUCGGAAUAACAGCGAGAAAUUGCUGCUAAUACCGGAUGAUGACGUAAGUCCAAAGAUUUAUCGCCCAAGGAUGAGCCCGCGUAGGAUUAGCUUGUUGGUGAGGUAAGAGCUCACCAAGGCGACGAUCCUUAGCUGGUCUGAGAGGAUGAUCAGCCACACUGGGACUGAGACACGGCCCAGACUCCUACGGGAGGCAGCAGUGGGGAAUAUUGGACAAUGGGCGAAAGCCUGAUCCAGCAAUGCCGCGUGAGUGAUGGAAGGCCUUAGGGUUAGUAAAGCUCUUUUACCCGGAUGAUAAUGACAGUACCGGAGAAUAGCUCCGGCUAACUCCGUGCCAGCAGCGC
This 444-nucleotide ribosomal RNA is filed under the name uncultured soil bacterium. Its description in RNAcentral is "bacterial SSU rRNA". It matches the Rfam family "Bacterial small subunit ribosomal RNA", at positions 26 to 518 of the family's 1533-position model. The record is from RNAcentral.